Molecule: small nuclear RNA, 94 nt
Filed under: Canis lupus familiaris (dog)
Lineage: Eukaryota; Metazoa; Chordata; Mammalia; Carnivora; Canidae
Also listed under: 1 other name
Source: RNAcentral
GUGCUCGCUUCGGCGGCAUAUAUACUGAAAUUGAAACAAUACAGAGAAGAUUAGCAUGGUGCCUGUGCAAAUUCAUGAAGCAUUCCAUAUUCUU